This 468-nucleotide ribosomal RNA is filed under the name uncultured bacterium. RNAcentral's name for it is "partial 16S ribosomal RNA". It matches the Rfam family "Bacterial small subunit ribosomal RNA", at positions 28 to 507 of the family's 1533-position model. The record is from RNAcentral.
GACGAACGCUGGCGGCGUGCUUAACACAUGCAAGUCGAACGGAAAGGCCCUGCGUUUGUGGGGUGCUCGAGUGGCGAACGGGUGAGUAACACGUGAGUAACCUGCCCUUGACUUUGUGAUAACUUCAGGAAACUGGGGCUAAUACAGGAUAGGAUCUCCUGCUGCAUGGGGGGGGUUGGAAAGUUUCGGCGGUUGGGGAUGGACUCGCGGCUUAUCAGCUUGUUGGUGGGGUAGUGGCUUACCAAGGGUUUGACGGGUAGCCGGCCUGAGAGGGUGACCGGCCACAUUGGGACUGAGAGACGGACCAGACUGCUACGGGCGGCAGCAGUGGGGAAUAUUGCACAAUGGGCGGAAGCCUGAUGCAGCAACGCCGCGUGCGGGAUGACGGCCUUCGGGUUGUAAACCGCUUUCGCCUGUGACGAAGCGUGAGUGACGGUAAUGGGUAAAGAAGCACCGGCUAACUACGUG